AGUACGAGAUGCUACAGCAUCGAAGCAGUCUAUGUCAUACUUCCAAGAAAAGCUUGCAAUGUCAUAAACAAAUAAUGCCUGUACCAUAACCGACACAGGUGGGUAGGUAGAGUAUACUAAGGGGCGCGAGAUAACUCUCUCUAAGGAACUCGGCAAAAUGACUCCGUAACUUCGGGAGAAGGAGUGCCUUAUUUUUAUAAGGUUGCAAUAACAAGAUCCAAGCAACUGUUUACCAAAAACACAGGUCUCCGCUAAGUCGUAAGACGAUGUAUGGGGGCUGACGCCUGCCCAGUGCCAGAAGGUUAAAGAAGUUGGUUAGCAUUAGCGAAGCUGAUAACUGAAGCCCUGGUGAACGGCGGCCGUAACAAUAACGGUCCUAAGGUAGCGAAAUUCCUUGUCGGGUAAGUUCCGACCCGCACGAAAGGCGUAAUGAUUUGGAUACUGUCUCGGAGAGGGGCUCGGUGAAAUAGACUUGUCUGUGAAGAUGCGGACUACCUGCACCUGGACAGAAAGACCCUAUGAAGCUUUACUGUAACUUGAGAUUGAAAUUGGACUUUAUCUGCGCAGUAUAGGUGGGAGACGUUGAAAAUAUUCUUGCGGGAAUAUUGGAGUCAUCAGUGAGAUACCACUCUUAUAAUGUUAGAUUUCUAACUUUGUAUCAUUAUCUGGUCAAAGAACAGUUUCAGGCGGGCAGUUUGACUGGGGCGGUCGCCUCCCAAACGGUAACGGAGGCGCACAAAGGUUUCCUCUGAACGUGUAGAAAUCGUAUCUAGAGUGUAAAGGCAUAAGGAAGCUUGACUGUGAGACCUACAAGUCGAGCAGGGACGAAAGUCGGUCUUAGUGAUCUGACGGUGCUGAGUGGAAAGGCCGUCACUCAACGGAUAAAAGUUACUCUAAGGAUAACAGGCUGAUCUCCCCCAAGAGUUCACAUCGACGGGGAGGUUUGGCACCUCGGUGUCGGCUCAUCGCAUCCUGGGGCGGUAGUACGUCCCAAGGGUUGGGCUGUUCGCCCAUGAAAGCGGUACGCGAGCUGGGUUCAGAACGUCGUGAGACAGUUCGGUCCAUAUCCGGUGUAGGCGUUAGAAUAUUGAGAGGAGCCUUCUUUAGUACGAGAGGACCGAGAAGGACAUACCUCUGGUGUACCAGUUAUCGUGCCAACGGUAAACGCUGGGUAGCCAUGUAUGGAGAGGAUAACCGCUGAAAGCAUCUAAGUGGGAAGCCCACCUCAAGAUAAG
Molecule: ribosomal RNA, 1235 nt
Filed under: metagenome
Description: bacterial LSU rRNA
Rfam family: Bacterial large subunit ribosomal RNA
Source: RNAcentral